RNAcentral lists this transfer RNA (74 nucleotides) under Pseudozyma flocculosa PF-1. RNAcentral's name for it is "tRNA-Met (CAT) (tRNA-Met-CAT-3-1)". It matches the Rfam family "tRNA". Rfam says of the family: Transfer RNA (tRNA) molecules are approximately 80 nucleotides in length. Lineage: Eukaryota; Fungi; Basidiomycota; Ustilaginomycetes; Ustilaginales; Ustilaginaceae. The record is from RNAcentral.
GUCUGCGUGGCGCAGUUGGUCAGCGCGUAGGUCUCAUAAUCCUGAGGUCGUGGGUUCGAACCCCCCCGCGGACA